CUUAAUCUUCCUACAACAAGGAGGACUUUGUGCAGCCUUAAAAUAGGAAUGCUGUGCUUAUGUAGAUAAGACUGGACUUGUAGAAGACAGUCUAAAAAAGGUGAGAGUUAGCCUAGAAAAACGAAGGAGAGAGAGAGCAACAAGAGUCUUGCUACAAAAACUGGUUUUCUACAUCCCCAUGGCUCUCUACCCUGUUGCCCUCAAUUUUGGGACCCCUUGUGGGCCUACUUUUGUAGAUUUCCUUUGGUCCUUGGGCCUUUCAGCGACUUAUAUGCUUUAUUAAAUCACAAAUAGAUUCUGCUUUGCCUAGAAAUUCUGAUUCAGUACCUUAUCAUUGCUUGGAGACCAGAAUAGCUGAGGAGAACCAGAGAGACAAUGAACAAGAUGAGGUGCCUACAACAUAUCAGGAGAGGCUUGAUUUCCACAAUCUCUUAUAUUAAUGUCAUCUGGCCCCUACUCUUUCGCCCCUGGGCUCAAAUAAGAGGAAUGAGUAGAUGACCCAGUGUAGCCAUCAUCAACGACGGGCAACUUCCUCUGACCCUUGACCAAUCUAAGACAUGGAGCCUUGAGGGCAACAAGCACAGGAAGAUAACAUUCAAGGGAUGCCUCAGCUUGAGCAUUUACCAGUUAUCUCCUGAGUCAACACCCGGUGUCUCCACCGCAUGACCUCAUCGUCUACCGCCUGACCUCUUUGCCUCCUGCUAUCACUGACUAUAUCCUCAUCCCUCCAUCCUUUGUGUUUCACAAAGGACACUCCCCCUACCUGAAAGCCUUAAAAGCUGGAACGUUCACCCCAAUAAAUGAGACCUUGACAAUAGAA
This is a non-coding RNA of Rattus norvegicus (Norway rat), 820 nucleotides long. Lineage: Eukaryota; Metazoa; Chordata; Mammalia; Rodentia; Muridae. The record is from RefSeq and is a predicted model, not a curated record.